GAUGAACGCUGGCGGCGUGCCUAAUACAUGCAAGUCGAGCGAACGGAUUAAGAGCUUGCUCUUAUGAAGUUAGCGGCGGACGGGUGAGUAACACGUGGGUAACCUGCCCAUAAGACUGGGAUAACUCCGGGAAACCGGGCUAAUACCGGAUAAUAUUUUGAACUGCAUAGUUCGAAAUUGAAAGGCGGCUUCGGCUGUCACUUAUGGAUGGACCCGCGUCGCAUUAGCUAGUUGGUGAGGUAACGGCUCACCAAGGCAACGAUGCGUAGCCGACCUGAGAGGGUGAUCGGCCACACUGGGACUGAGACACGGCCCAGACUCCUACGGAGGCAGCAGUAGGGAAUCUUCCGCAAUGGCGAAAGCCUGACGCAGCGACGCCGCGUGGGUGAUGAAGGCCUUCGGUCGUAAGACCGUGUCGCAGGGAG
This 425-nucleotide ribosomal RNA is filed under the name uncultured bacterium. Its description in RNAcentral is "bacterial SSU rRNA". It matches the Rfam family "Bacterial small subunit ribosomal RNA", at positions 28 to 445 of the family's 1533-position model. The record is from RNAcentral.